Long non-coding RNA from Herpailurus yagouaroundi (jaguarundi), 451 nucleotides. RefSeq lists it as uncharacterized. The record is from RefSeq and is a predicted model, not a curated record. NCBI's taxonomy places the organism in Eukaryota, Metazoa, Chordata, Mammalia, Carnivora, Felidae. The transcript is spliced from 2 exons.
CCCUCCCCCGUUCAUGCUCUGUCUCUUUCUGUCUCAAAAAUAAAUAAACAUUUAAAAAUGAUAAUAAUAAAAAAAAAAAAAAACAAGAAGAAAUAUCCUAGGGAUCAAGAUGGAGUAAAACAUUUAGUGAGCGACACUUUGUAUCAAUUCCUGUAUCAGAUGCUUUACAUAAUAAUAACAACAGACACAUAGAGUCACUAUAGUGGACCAGGCAGGUUUCUAAGCACCUAACAUACUUAGUUUUUAAAACUACUUGAUAAGACAGAGGAACAUGUUAAAUGGACACGAACAUAUGAAUAAAUACCAUGGCCAUAUGAACAGAAAAAUCCAGAAUAUGAGAAAUGAUACAUAACCACGAUCCGUUUUUUUUUUCUAACAAAUAAAUGACCAAGAAACUAUAAAAGGGAGGUAAAGAGGACCUACAGAUUAAGUGGCUGAAGAGACAUUUUAA